GCAGCAGUAGGGAAUCUUCCACAAUGGGCGCAAGCCUGAUGGAGCAACACCGCGUGAGUGAAGAAGGGUUUCGGCUCGUAAAGCUCUGUUGUUGGAGAAGAACGUGCGUGAGAGCAACUGUUCACGCAGUGACGGUAUCCAACCAGAAAGUCACGGCUAACUACGUGCCAGCAGCCGCGGUAAUACGUAGGUGGCAAGCGUUAUCCGGAUUUAUUGGGCGUAAAGCGAG
RNAcentral lists this ribosomal RNA (229 nucleotides) under Limosilactobacillus reuteri. RNAcentral's name for it is "Lactobacillus reuteri partial 16S ribosomal RNA". It matches the Rfam family "Bacterial small subunit ribosomal RNA", at positions 348 to 569 of the family's 1533-position model. Lineage: Bacteria; Bacillati; Bacillota; Bacilli; Lactobacillales; Lactobacillaceae. The record is from RNAcentral.